GCGGCGUCGCGCGCUGAUUGGCUGAAACGUCUGCGCCAGCCACGAUGGGGCACAUAACCCCCCCAAGGAAAGACUCGGAGCGCUCAGAUGGCUUCUCUACCACAGCUGUGGGGCUCAGCUUAUUAAAGUUGGAAUGGUUUGGUUGCCUUGAUACAUGGAUGACUGAUUUUGCCCUCUUCAGUGUUCACAGAUGGACUAGAAGAGAUAAAGGAGACAGCAUGCCAUUGCAGGAAGAUGUGUCACCAAGCAAGAGGAUGAGAGUUAAAUAUUUUCUGCAAAGCAGCCUCUCCUUCCUCUCUCCCCACCAUGUUUUUACUGUGCCUUUACUUGUAGACCUCUAUACCCUCCAUCUUUUGAGUUCUGUGUGUCAGGUUCAAUGUUUGUGUUCAGUUCCUGGGAGAAGCAUCAGGCACUGCUCUUCAAGUGAGAUCCUGCCAGUGCUCAAAGCCUCAGAUUCAUGUGGGGAGAGAAAAUGAGCAGCACAAAUUCCCAGUUUGUGUAUUAGCUAAAAAGGUGAUUAGUCUCUGCUAUUUCUGCAUUCGGGAUCCUGAGUGUGGGCUCAUUAUUCUAUUGAAUGAUUAUUGAAUGAUCAGAAGUAAUUUCUUUUCCUGGGAAGUGAAUUCUACACAUGUGCAAUUCUAUUCCAAAAUGGAUUCCUUGUGUCUCUCAGAUGUUGCUUUUGCCUUGGAUUGUCUUCAGAAAAACAAACUGUCCAGUUAAGUUCACCAUUGGUUUUGCCUCCCAUCUAGAAACGAGAGGAGAUCAUAGAUUUAGCACAUUUUCUGGAUGCUGAAAUUCAUAUGCAGAGUGUUGAAGGAGCAGCAGCUUUCUUUAGCAGCCACAUGUGCUGCCCUUAUGCAUCCUGGAUUGAUGCAUUUUUCAUUUUCCAAGGCAAUUGCACCUUUCUGUGCUAGUGCUUCAGCAAAGUUGUAAUAUCUCCAAACCUAACAGAAGGGUUAUUUUGAAAUUUUCAGUUUUACAGGAGUAUUAAUACCAGGCUUGUUUCCUUAAUAGUCUGUUACAUGCUGUAGGCAAGGAUUGUGCUAUUUGAGAUGAACACAGCACAAACUGCUAUGCAGAUCUGCCCACUUCAAACACCUCAGUGGAAGCCAGAUGAAUGACACUGUUUCAGGCAUGGACCAGAGCAGUGGGAAAAUGGCCAUCAAGAGUUAAGGGUUUAUUGGUAUAAUGAAGGGUAGAUUUUCUCCCUUCCUCACCAAUCCCUUUUAAAGAAGUCUCUGAGCAGAAACAUAAAGGCUUGCUGUCCAGCACCAUUUACUCUGUCACUUCACAGAUUUCUGUGCUGCUUUUCCUCACGUCUGCAGUUACUCCAUUUAUCCCUGUUUUUAUGGUAUUGGCCCCAACUUGCAAUGCAUUUGUUCUUAGUUAUUCUACAUCCUUUCACUCUUUUAACUUCACCGUAUUCCCCUGAAAAUCACCUUUUUGGUUUUAGGCUCCUGUCUGCCUCUCAAGGCUUCUGCAUUUUUUGUUACCCUCUUUCUAGGGAGCAUCUUUUUCUCACUGUAUAUCUUAUGCCCAGUUUCUUCAGCAGUUUCCUUCAUCUCACGGCUGCUAGACUUCCUACAUUUUGUCCCUGUGUGUUGUCAUUUUGAGUCACAGAUGGAAGGCUGACCUGCAAGGGUGCAGAAACCCUGGACUUCCCCACAAAAGUGCUGCAGCCAAAUACAGGUGUCCAAUUCCAGCCAGGCUGGGAAUCUUCUGGUAUUUAUGGGUCUGGAGAAAUAUUAUGUCCCACAGGCACUUAAAUAGCUGGAUGUUGGAUCAAGUUUGAGUUGGCUAAUAACAGUUUUGCAUUGCUUUCUGCCCCUUACACAGCCUUGGUGACAGGUAGAGGUCUUUUCCGAAGGGCAGGAUGGCUCCAGGUGAGUUUGGGCAGUUAGUUGGGCAUCAUUUGUGCCAGUUGUGCACUAUAUUUUUCCUAGAAGCACUGCUUAAUACAUUUCUUAUAUUGCUGAAUUGUGUUCAGCAGUAAUAAUAUUGGAGUAUGAUUAUGAUACUCCAAUAAAAAGCAAUAGGGAGUUCUUUGCUUAAUCCCACCACUUUCUUUAGUUGUUUCCAAGUUCAGUUUUCAUUCUAUCUCCUAAACCCCAGACUGACUCAAUGCUACUUCUGCAAGCUCUACCUUGCACAUACCUGUCACACAGAACAAUUACAAAUGAUGUGAACCACCAUUUAAAUCUUCAAUCAAGUUUAUCUGUACAGGACUACAAAUCACUGGCUAGACUAAUUUUAUGCUUUAAUUUCAGGAGUUAAAAGAAUGGUGGGAAUCUUCAAAGAUUUCCUCACUCCUCUGAACUCAUUCUCCAGGUACUGACAGGAUCUUAAUGCGUCAGUUUACUUAAGUUGCUGCUCCUAGAGACUUUAAUGGUACCAAAUUCAUUCCUUGAUGACUUCUGUUUGCUCCUUUUAUCAUGAUUUUAACAUUACUCUUACAGAGCACAUUUUUGUAAUCAUAACCAAGUGAAAUCUUGCAAGUGAAAAGGGGUUUCACUUGAAACUUUUCUUACAGAAUAAACAUUGGCAGCCAAAGGUAAGGAUGAGGUUCUCAGUGCUUCAUUAGCACAGAUGUCCUGGAAAAGGGCACUAAGAGCUCCAGAAUUUGGGUAAGAUGGGAUUCUUGGAAGUAAAUAUAAGCUGUCACCUACCUAACAGGUUUAACAGCAGAAGAGGUGUCCUAGGGAAUGCUGCAGCCUUGUAGCAUUGAUUCAAAGAGGUGCUGCUGUCACAGGCAAUAGACAAGUACCAGUGCUCACCUGAAAUAGACCUGUGCACUGAAUUAAACGCAGCCAUCGUGUCACCAUGCCUGCAGUGACCGCUGCUUCUGUGUGGACAGGAGGCACCUGAAAACAGCCAUCCCCAAAGCCUUGCCAUGCUGAAAGCCUUUGGGUUUUUUCCAACUGAUGGAAUUCAAUUUGCAUCUUGCUGGAGGCUCUUAUCUCAAUCUCUCUCCCUGCCACCCUGCAGUCAUAUAAAUUUAGUUACAUGUAGAGCUCCUGAUCAUCUCCAAGGAAUGACCAAGAUCUGAGAGAUUAAACCUUUUUUUUUUCUGGGGAUUUUUUGUCCUGGUGGGGCUGAUCUCUGUAUGAAGGGAAAUGUGUUAUUCUUCAAACCUUGAUUUCUCACUUGCUUUUUAGGUAGUGAACUGAGCACUGAUGGCCUUGCUCUUGAAGAGGAAUAUCCUGUGUUGCAGCCUUGCUGCAAGACUUCAGCUCUUACACACUGGUGUAUCUGCAGUGCAGGACUAGGAGCAUGUGAGAAUGUAGUUGAGGUUUUACCUCUUACUUAUCUGAGAGACUUCCACAAGAGUCACCAGAUUUAAAGUUUUUCAGAAAAACAAGGAUAACACUGUUGGAUUCAGUGCUGUGAACAUAAAUUCUCACUAAGCACUACAUAAAUAUUAAAAGUAAAUUAAUUGAUGUUGCACUUUAAAUACUAUAUAAAUUCAGCCUUGCAUGAAAGCCCCUACCCAAAGAUUUAUAAGGAAUUUGUACAUUUUGGACUGGGUAGGAAAAAAAUCCCUGCUUUUUAAGUAAAGGAAAAGCCUAUCUCAGAAUGUCUUGUUGUUUAUUGCUGUAUUCAUAUUGCACAUUAAAAUAUUUACAUUAAAAUGUGUCCAUUUUCAAAA
Molecule: long non-coding RNA, 3646 nt
Organism: Catharus ustulatus (Swainson's thrush)
Lineage: Eukaryota; Metazoa; Chordata; Aves; Passeriformes; Turdidae
Exons: 2
Source: RefSeq, a predicted model, not a curated record